CAAUAGCGUAUAUUAAAGUUGUUGCAGUUAAAAAGCUCGUAGUUGGAUUUCUGGUGGGAGCGAUCGGUCUGGCGCUUAGCGCGAGUACUUGCAUCGUCUCCGGCCAUCCUUGGGGAGAGUCUGUCUGGCAUUAGGUUGUCGGGCAGAGGAUCCUCAUCGUUUACUGUGAAAAAAUUAGAGUGUUCAAAGCAGGCUUAUGCCGUUGAAUAUGUUAGCAUGGAAUAAUAAGAUAGGACUUUGGUACUAUUUUGUUGGUUUGCGCACCAAAGUAAUGAUUAAUAGGGACAGUUGGGGGUAUUCGUAUUCCGUUGUCGGAGGUGAAAUUCUUGGAUUUACGGAAGACGAACUACUGCGAAAGCAUUUACCAAGGAUGUUUUCAUUAA
Molecule: ribosomal RNA, 383 nt
Filed under: uncultured eukaryote
Lineage: Eukaryota
Description: partial 18S ribosomal RNA
Rfam family: Eukaryotic small subunit ribosomal RNA
Source: RNAcentral